AUUGUUGCAUUGUAUCGAUUUUUCUUAUCAUUAUUAUUACACGGAUAGAAAUCCUGUCCGAAAAACCAUCAACAAAUUGUUUUAAAAGCGAUAACAUCGAUUGUUUUCGAUUUCGUUUACAAUGUUUUCAAAAAUGAAAACAAUUUCAUCGAUUUCGAAAACUUUUGUGUUCGAAAACGCAACUUUUUCCGUCACACUUUUUCGAAGCGUAACUACUGUCAAAACGCAGCCUAAUUCUAAACGUCAAACAAGCUCUCGUGACAGUUUGUUUAUACAAUGUUUUUUUUUUAGUUUUCGGGUGAAGUAACCGGAGAGCCGGAGAAGUUUCUGGUGGCCAGAUAUUAACUGGUUCCGUUUCGACGGUGUUUGUGAAAUGAUGUGUGAUGGCCACCAGAGGAAGAUGUUGUCCAGCGGGAGAAAGUCAUCAAAGUUCAUACCCUCAGAAGCUUGGCUGCGACGCCGUCCUCUUCCAGAUCUGCAGCCACCUCGAAUUGAACCACGACGACAAGAAAAGCGACCCGGGACAAGGCGCAUCAACCGAACUUGAGCUCCGUCGGCAUCCUGGAGCCGAUCGCGGUCAAGCUUCGGUCGUGCAGAAGGCGCUGAAUACCACACACACACACUACAUUAC
Culex quinquefasciatus (southern house mosquito) is the source of this 631-nucleotide RNA transcript. RefSeq lists it as uncharacterized. The transcript has 3 exons. NCBI's taxonomy places the organism in Eukaryota, Metazoa, Arthropoda, Insecta, Diptera, Culicidae. The record is from RefSeq and is a predicted model, not a curated record.